RNAcentral lists this ribosomal RNA (306 nucleotides) under uncultured Planctomycetota bacterium. RNAcentral describes it as "bacterial SSU rRNA". It matches the Rfam family "Bacterial small subunit ribosomal RNA", at positions 29 to 351 of the family's 1533-position model. The record is from RNAcentral. Lineage: Bacteria; Pseudomonadati; Planctomycetota.
AAUGAACGUUGGCGGCGUGGAUUAGGCAUGCAAGUCGAGCGAGAACCGUAGCAAUACGGGGACAGCGGCGAAAGGGAGAGGAAUACGUGGAUACCUACCCCCAGGUUCAGGAUAGCCGUGGGAAACUACGGGUAAUACUGAAUAACAUCUCCGGAUCAAAGGUGUGAUUCCGCCCGGGGAGGGGUCCGCGUCCUAUUAGCUUGUUGGUGGGGUAACGGCUCACCAAGGCGAAGAUGGGUACGGGAUGUGAGAGCAUGAUCCCGCUCAUUGGGACUGAGACACUGCCCAGACACCUACGGGAGGCAG